GGAAUUUUAUUUAUCUUAGUGGCGGACGGGUGAGUAACGUGUGGGCAACCUGCCCUAUACUGGGGAAUAAUCACUGGAAACGGUGACUAAUACCGCAUGUCAUUACGGAAGGGCAUCCUUCUGUAAGAAAAGGAGUAAUUCGGUAUAGGAUGGGCCCGCAUCUGAUUAGCUAGUUGGUGAGAUAACAGCCCACCAAGGCGACGAUCAGUAGCCGACCUGAGAGGGUGAUCGGCCACAUUGGGACUGAGACACGGCCCAAACUCCUACGGGAGGCAGCAGUGGGGAAUAUUGCACAAUGGGGGAAACCCUGAUGCAGCAACGCCGCGUGAAGGAAGAAGGUUUUCGGAUCGUAAACUUCUAUCAACAGGGACGAAGAAAGUGACGGUACCUGAAUAAGAAGCCCCGGCUAACUACGUGCCAGCAGCCGCGGUAAUACGUAGGGGGCAAGCGUUAUCCGGAAUUACUGGGUGUAAAGGGAGCGUAGGCGGCACGCCAAGCCAGAUGUGAAAGCCCGAGGCUUAACCUCGCGGAUUGCAUUUGGAACUGGCGAGCUAGAGUACAGGAGAGGAAAGCGGAAUUCCUAGUGUAGCGGUGAAAUGCGUAGAUAUUAGGAAGAACACCAGUGGCGAAGGCGGCUU
This 638-nucleotide ribosomal RNA is filed under the name uncultured bacterium. RNAcentral's name for it is "bacterial SSU rRNA". It matches the Rfam family "Bacterial small subunit ribosomal RNA", at positions 77 to 727 of the family's 1533-position model. The record is from RNAcentral.